Molecule: RNA transcript, 2053 nt
Organism: Zophobas morio
Lineage: Eukaryota; Metazoa; Arthropoda; Insecta; Coleoptera; Tenebrionidae
Gene name: transmembrane protein 272-like
Exons: 7
Source: RefSeq, a predicted model, not a curated record
AUCACCAUCAAAAGCAAUAUAAAAUUCAAGCCUCCUCCCAAGUGUCGUUCGACUACGCCUGCACCAAGUUUACCAAUCCAGCGCACAAACCCAAACCGAAAUAGAAAACAUUAGUGGGAAAGUUAAAGCGUGCCGCGCGUAGAUCGUUUAAACCAUGCCGGAACAAAACAAAAACAAAGUAACGGAAAAUGUUAAUAGACCCUCAAGAUUUCAGCAAUGUGUAAAAAAAUGUUCAGGUACACUGAGAUUCAGUUUUAUUUUUGCCAGUGCAAUACACAUAACCAAAAUUGUAAUUGCUGCUAUUUAUUUCCACAAAUGUCCCGUGGAACCGGAAAUUCCAAAGUAUCUGUUGGUAAUGGGUAUUAUUGGCGUUGUAACAAAACUUAUAAUGCUAUUUAGAAAUUUCAUCAUCAAAUGUAUUAAAGUCACUCCGAUUUUAUCUUUAUUAGCAACUGUCGAACUAACAAUUUUUAUAAUUGGAUCUUAUUACAUAUACAGAGAAUUUGAACCCAGUUACGAGCCCCAAAGUGGAGAAAAAUACUGCGACAAAACGUUAUAUCUAUUUUCGUUUAUUUACAUCACGAUAAUUUAUGCUUUACUGUUGUUAGCUAUACUGAUUGUUAGUUGCUUCAUCUUGGCCGUUGUUUUACUCGAUAAAUUAGGUCCAAAGGAGCGUACGCACGAUGCAGAAAAUACAACUGAAAUUCCGCUUGCAACCGAGCAGGGAUCCACGGAGAAAUAGUAUAUCUCUAAUAAUAACUCUGUAUCAUUCAUGCAUUUGUUUUCUGCAAUUAAAGAUAUUUCAGCCUAUCUCUGUUUGCUUUCACUUUCCCGUCCAGCAAUACUAAAUUAAGAGUAUGAAAUUUUUAUUUGAUCAAAAAUAUCGACUGACCUAUAAAUCAUCGAAUUAACCUUGGUUACGCUGAGUUCUAGCACGCCCACAAUGGCGUCGCGUAGUCCUAGUAAACAAAGUGGCCACCAUUCUGUUUAGUAGUCUCGAUGCUAGGAUAACGGACAGACGUGGCUAGACUGAGAUGCGGUGAAUUUGUUUGUUACAUCGAACGUAAUGGAUCAGCAACAACGAGGCGAUGAUUCAAAAAACAAGAAGGUGGUAGUUCAAGAUUCCAUAAAAAAACUUAAGGAAAAGUUAGUACCCGGAAUAAAAUAUGGACUUCUCAUAUCUGCAAUCAUCAAUUUGUCUAUGCUGGUUGUUGGUUGUCUCAAUGUUCACAAGUGUCCCGUCAACAAGCAUAUUCCGCUCUUUUUAAUAGCUACUGGAGCAAUUGGUUUGAUGUCUAAAUUUGUAAGUUACGUACGUGAUCGAAUCUCUGCACAUGUGCAGGUAGUAUACUUCGAGUCUGCUUUAUAUAGUGUCGAAACAAUCUUCUUUUUCCUAGGGACUUACUGGGUCUAUAAGGAAUUUCAACCAAGUUAUGAUCCCAGCGCGGGGGAUUUAUUUUGCAACAAGGGCGCCUAUAUACUUGCAUUUACCUAUAUUACGAUUUUCUACGCGUUUAUAAUCGCUAUAAUCUGUGGAUUUUGUUGCUUCUUAUGUUGCAUCUUACUCAUUACGUCGGCAUGUGACCAAUGCAUGGAUGUGGAAUACUCGUCUUCAAAUCCGGAAGUGACCACGUCCCUAACAGUAGUAUCAACCAAAGAUAGCGAUGAAAUCGUAAAAACUCAUCAUUAAUAUUGCUUCAUACACAAAUAUACUUCCAUCCAAACGCGCAAAGCAUGUUACAUGUAAACAUUUCGUGUAUUUUUGAUACUUGUUGAAAACGCCCUAUUUAUACCUGUUAUUAGACUGUUGUUACAAAGAUUGACGUUGUAAAAUCGCCUUUAUCUAUAGAACUCACUAUGUUUACGCUUAGCUUGUUACUGCAGGACUCUGUCACCAGAAAAUGAGUUCUAGAGGUACAUCCGAUACAGAAAGGCUUAUUUUAAUAUAAUGUAAGUGCAUGUAGCUUCUACAAUAUUAAGGCAAUUUGUUUUAUAUUAAAACAAAGUGUGAAAGAUCUGUAACAGUUAUUUUUACUAAAUACGAAAGUUUGUU